This 110-nucleotide ribosomal RNA is filed under the name Alphaproteobacteria bacterium. Its description in RNAcentral is "partial 16S ribosomal RNA". It matches the Rfam family "Bacterial small subunit ribosomal RNA", at positions 984 to 1085 of the family's 1533-position model. The record is from RNAcentral. Lineage: Bacteria; Pseudomonadati; Pseudomonadota; Alphaproteobacteria.
CAUACAGCAUCAGAACUUUCCAGAGAUGGAAAGGUGCCAGUUUUACUGGAGCUUGGUGACAGGUGCUGCACGGCUGUCGUCAGCUCGUGUCGUGAGAUGUUGGGUUAAGU